UAGUACGUUUUAGUUCAUUCAUAGACUGAACAGAUUGGACAAAGUGGUCAUUAUUCACCACUGCAGCGAUUUUCAUCAACUAGAUAACGAAAUGGAGUCUUCCCGGACCAUCCAAGAGACCAUUAGAGGUAACAUAUAUGAAGUGUCCUGCUAUAUAAUUCAAGCACGACUCAAUGACACACUUCAGUAAUUACAGUAUAACAGUAAUUCCUUUAUACUAGGCUUUCAUCCAAGAACUUGCGUUCCUUGUUGUUAGGUAGCAAUGUUGUUUAUCAGUUUAUAGCCAGUCAACUUCAAGUUUUGGUGGAAAAAUCCGUGAAGAAACCACUAUACGUUAUCUCUAUAAAAAAAAUUUAUAUGACGCAUGUCUAAUAGUUUUAAAAUUUUAUUUGAGACACGCUUAUAAUAGUUGUAUUUUACUACGAUUUUAAGUUAAUAAGAGUAUACUUUCAGGUUAUAAUAAUAAUUUACUGAAAGAUCUAUUGUUUUGCCCAAAUACAACGAAUUGUUCAGUGUCAAAGGUUUUCUUUGCAAAUAAAAAUAAGCCUUUGAAAUGUGUUGCACUUAAUUAAGUGUAAUCAAAUGUUUAUUAAUUAUAUAUACUGUACUAUAUUUUACUACAUGCUCGCAAUAUAUCCGUUUAAUUGAUUUCUUGGUCUAUUUUAAAAAUACAUUGUAUAUAGUAUUAAAAUAAUUUAUUAUACCCAAAGCAAUUUCCUUCCCAAAUUCUACACAAUUCCAUGAGGAAUUCCAACUGGAUCUUAUAUGAAUUUCUAUGAAAACAAAUUUUCUAUAGGAUUUUUCAUUAGAAUUCUUAUAGGAAAUCUAUGACUUAAUAGAUUAGAUUUAAUUAAAUCAGCCCAAAUCCUGUACAAUCCUAGAGGAAAUCCUAUAAAAGUAUAAAAUAUGAAUUCCUAAUAUAUACAUGGUCACAAAACAUUCUAUUAGAUAUAUUAUAUUAAAUAUUCCUAUUAGAUUUUUAUUCAUGCAUUCCUAUAGGAUGGCCAGGAUGGUAACUUCAUUCUAGUCAUGACAUUCUAGCUCUUGGCAUCAGCAACUAUUAUUUUCUGUGAUAAUCACAAUGUGUGCAUUGUGUCACAAUACUGUACUGUAGUGUAAUCAGUACUCCUAAAGCCUGUUUGCCACUUUACUAGUAUCAUACAAUAACUUAAUUAGAAAAAAAAUUUAAAUUUGGUCAAUCUUGCUUGGUUAAUACUUCCGUAGUAUAUAUAAAAAAGUUCAUUGCAAUGAACCUUUAAUUUUGAUAAUUAUGUGCAUGGAUCAAAGCAUAUGAAAUUUUAAAUUUUAAUUCAAUGGAACAAUUAUUAACCCAUUAAGCAACAAUGCAUCCCAUUAUAUUCCUCUGUUUAAUGCCACACAAUUUUACUUGUCCAGGACAGGAAAGUAUGCGUAUUGGUCAUUAAUUGAUUAAAUAAAUAUUUUCCAACAGGCUCACAUCCAACCUCUUCAAGUUUCAGACCAAAUCAUGCAAGACUCUGUAUAAUUACACAAUCCCGACAAGUUAUGGAUUUAGAUAAGGCUACCCAGUCUAAAAAAAGAUCAAAUGCU
RNAcentral lists this long non-coding RNA (1569 nucleotides) under Paramuricea clavata. Lineage: Eukaryota; Metazoa; Cnidaria; Anthozoa; Malacalcyonacea; Plexauridae. The record is from RNAcentral.